CCAGGUCAGGCCGGAUCACCCGCUGAGUUUAA
This 32-nucleotide ribosomal RNA is filed under the name Maundia triglochinoides. RNAcentral describes it as "partial 26S ribosomal RNA". Lineage: Eukaryota; Viridiplantae; Streptophyta; Magnoliopsida; Alismatales; Maundiaceae. The record is from RNAcentral.